AUAGUUUAUAAUAUUUAAUACGUUUUCAUGUUAAAUGGUCAAGAAAUAAAAAGAAAGAAUUACGAGGAUCGUUCGAAAGAAUUAAGAUUAGACGAUUGUUCAAUUAUGAACGACAACGUAAUGCGUUCUUUACGUAACGAAAAAAAAACGAAUCAUUGCAAUUUUAGAGGGAAUCGUAGAUUUUUAUAACGGAAAUAAAUCGUUGUGGAUUAUCUUUUAAAUGAUAUAACGCGCGAGGUCGAGGUUCAACUUGUAUAAAUUAAACGUCGAAAGAAUCAAAUGCUCGAUAAUGAAUUUGAUUUGCGCAUUUCUUCUUUUCUAUCUCGGUGAAUCAAAUUUGGACGAGAAGAUUACGAAGUUAUUAAAAUGGAGGUUAAGUUUUACGUUUCGAAAUUUCGUCUUUGGCUUCGAAGAUAAGUGUCGAGCUCAAAAAUUUCCAGUAAACACGUACCAAGUGUCCUCGGAAUUUCCUACGUAUUUUACGCAUAGACGAUCACACGAGUUCGACAAUUUCUACGAAGUGACGUAAGGGGAGGACAAUGCAUAUGUUGUGCCUUUCUAACCACAUCGGAGAAGAUGCAUUUAAAUGUCUAUAGCUACGUUAAGCAAUUCGAGGAGUAUCAAAGGAUUAGCCUCCAGGGUGUCGUGAACGCAACGCAUGCGGACGCAUGCUAGGAGAAACAUCGAAUAGCACGAAAAGCGUGCCUCAAACUCGCUUCUCGAGCUCGUUAUCGGGGAGGUGCGAGCUACUUCUUCUCCCUCUUUAGCGUUGCCACCUGAUUGCAUGGCAAACAUGAGCUACUCGAGUUAGCUCGUGCCAUCGGUUGUUAACACUUUCUUUAGACCGAUACUGUAGGAUCCUGCUCGACUUUGUCUACUUAAGAUGCGAUUAUUUCUCAUUUUUUCUUCUCUUUUUUUUUUUCAUCCAAAAUUUCGAUGCACCUACAAAUUAAUUUCUACAGAAUAUAGAUGCCGCGUACGUGCGCACACAGCGAAAGAUCUUUUAGGAUGGAAUGAUAAAAUAUUCCCGGCAUCGAAAUGAUCUUAAUUACACGAGAAGUCUUUACUCGCAAAGUCUACCGCAAUUAUCGCACAUCGACUAAUGCCCGAACAAACUACGGAGAGAUAUAAAAAAGUUGCGACUCUUAAGGUGUUUGCUCAGAUGACAUUUUCACCUCUUACGAGCAACUGCUUAAACAGGGUUUACUUGAGAAAAAUGAAUUUGCACAAACGAACGUCUGACGAAGGUAGAAGAACGAGUGACGUGGAUGGCUCUCCGUGUCCGCUCAUAUACUCUACCUGCGCCGAUCUGACGUCACGGGUUUCGUUUCUUAUCAGUAGUCAGGAGCGCCAACACCUGUAUAGCCAAGCACCUGUUCGUCGAAACCUUCGAUGAUCGCGCGACCGCGCCUGUUCUGCAGAUCGUCCACCCUACUUUUCUAAUUCAUCAUUAUCUUGAUGAUGGAUCUUUGGAUCUACAGUAACGACAGGUUUUAAAGUAUUCUUAAAUGAAUACAAAACGAAGGGUUGCUUUUCAAAUGACAUGAGAGAAACAUGGAACAUGUUCGUUCUUUUACAACAGUAUCACGUGUGGUUUUAUACGAUGCGUAAUGUCUUAUCUCGUGUCCUAGUUACAUCACUGCUACCCUGACUAUACAUACUAUAUAUACGCUAAUGAUACCUAUAAGGUAGAUCGAGAUCGAGUAAAGGAUCGCAUAAUGAUUUAAUGUUAAUUGUCAUUGAAUAUGUUAAAAGGAUAGAUUUUUUUUUAUUUAUUUCAAUAUUGAAUGAUAUGAAUUAUACGAAGGAAAGUAUAUGCGUGCGAAAAAGAUGGAUCGAACGUCUACAAAAAUUAUAACUAAAAAAGUUAACUUAGGAUAACGAAAAACAAUUCAAAGUUAUUAAUGUUAAAGAAUAUAGAAAUGUAUUAAAAUUA
Long non-coding RNA from Vespa mandarinia (Asian giant hornet), 1936 nucleotides. RefSeq lists it as uncharacterized. NCBI's taxonomy places the organism in Eukaryota, Metazoa, Arthropoda, Insecta, Hymenoptera, Vespidae. The record is from RefSeq and is a predicted model, not a curated record.